GAUUGAUUCUACAAGGCCCUAGGGUCUAUAUUUAUACUCUGCUCAAAGAGCUACAACCAGACAUGAUUAGAAUUCGAAUUCCAAAUUACACGGAAUCCGUAUACAAAACGAUGCAAAUAAUUAAGGAAAUAACAAAACUAUCCCUCGUAACAAACCGAAACUCCUCCACAUAACGACCGGCAGCUUCCAGACUCCUCCUUUGCAUCAUCGGCAGAUCCUUUGCCAUAGUCAUCGGC
Molecule: long non-coding RNA, 236 nt
Filed under: Sorghum bicolor (sorghum)
Lineage: Eukaryota; Viridiplantae; Streptophyta; Magnoliopsida; Poales; Poaceae
Description: long non-coding RNA (SBIC_LNC000681)
Source: RNAcentral